Molecule: long non-coding RNA, 270 nt
Organism: Cucurbita maxima (winter squash)
Lineage: Eukaryota; Viridiplantae; Streptophyta; Magnoliopsida; Cucurbitales; Cucurbitaceae
Exons: 3
Source: RefSeq, a predicted model, not a curated record
AACUUUUAAAAGUCGGAUGGAUCAAGUACGGCCUCUAAAAACAUAUCUACAAAAAUUGUUCGUUGCCAUUUACUUGUUUCGUUGCAUCCCUCCCUUGAACAAAGAUGACUAGAGACACAUCAGGAUGUCAAGUUCGGAUCUUGGCCUUCGCGCUCAUUUAUCCAUGUCGUUAUUUUUUUUUGUCUUUUUUGAGCAAGUUCUCGAAAAUGUCUGGCACAACUGAGGAAGGUACAAUUUAUUCUAAUACGAUCUUACUAAGGUGGGUUUACG